RNAcentral lists this ribosomal RNA (910 nucleotides) under uncultured bacterium. Its description in RNAcentral is "bacterial SSU rRNA". It matches the Rfam family "Bacterial small subunit ribosomal RNA", at positions 33 to 934 of the family's 1533-position model. The record is from RNAcentral.
ACGCUAGCUACAGGCUUAACACAUGCAAGUCGAGGGGAAACGGCAUUUAGUGCUUGCACUUUUUGGACGUCGACCGGCGCACGGGUGAGUAACGCGUAUCCAACCUUCCCAUGACUAAGGGAUAACCUGCCGAAAGGCAGACUAAUACCUUAUGGUCUUCACUGACGGCAUCAGAUGUGAAGUAAAGAUUUAUCGGUUACGGAUGGGGAUGCGUCUGAUUAGCUUGUUGGCGGGGUAACGGCCCACCAAGGCAACGAUCAGUAGGGGUUCUGAGAGGAAGGUCCCCCACAUUGGAACUGAGACACGGUCCAAACUCCUACGGGAGGCAGCAGUGAGGAAUAUUGGUCAAUGGGCGAGAGCCUGAACCAGCCAAGUAGCGUGCAGGAUGACGGCCCUAUGGGUUGUAAACUGCUUUUGUAUGGGGAUAAAGUCAAUCACGUGUGAUUGUUUGCAGGUACCAUACGAAUAAGGACCGGCUAAUUCCGUGCCAGCAGCCGCGGUAAUACGGAAGGUCCGGGCGUUAUCCGGAUUUAUUGGGUUUAAAGGGAGCGUAGGCUGGAGAUUAAGUGUGUUGUGAAAUGUAGACGCUCAACGUCUGACUUGCAGCGCAUACUGGUUUCCUUGAGUACGCACAACGUUGGCGGAAUUCGUCGUGUAGCGGUGAAAUGCUUAGAUAUGACGAAGAACUCCGAUUGCGAAGGCAGCUGACGGGAGCGCAACUGACGCUGAAGCUCGAAGGUGCGGGUAUCGAACAGGAUUAGAUACCCUGGUAGUCCGCACAGUAAACGAUGGAUGCCCGCUGUUGGUACCUGGUAUCAGCGGCUAAGCGAAAGCAUUAAGCAUCCCACCUGGGGAGUACGCCGGCAACGGUGAAACUCAAAGGAAUUGACGGGGGCCCGCACAAGCGGAG